This 370-nucleotide ribosomal RNA is filed under the name uncultured organism. RNAcentral's name for it is "bacterial SSU rRNA". It matches the Rfam family "Bacterial small subunit ribosomal RNA", at positions 526 to 896 of the family's 1533-position model. The record is from RNAcentral.
CGUAGGGUGCGAGCGUUAAUCGGAAUUACUGGGCGUAAAGCGUGCGCAGGCGGUUUAGUAAGACAGGCGUGAAAUCCCCGGGCUCAACCUGGGAACUGCGCUUGUGACUGCUAAGCUAGAGUACGGCAGAGGGGGUGGAAUUCCACGUGUAGCAGUGAAAUGCGUAGAGAUGUGGAGGAACACCAAUGGCGAAGGCAGCCCCCUGGGUCGAUACUGACGCUCAUGCACGAAAGCGUGGGUAGCAAACAGGAUUAGAUACCCUGGUAGUCCACGCCCUAAACGAUGUCAACUAGGUGUUGGGAGGUAAAACCUUUUAGUACCGGAGCUAACGCGUGAAGUUGACCGCCUGGGGAGUACGGCCGUAAGGUUA